UACGUAGGGGGCAAGCGUUGUCCGGAAUUAUUGGGCGUAAAGAGCGUGUAGGCGGUCCGGUAAGUCGGCUGUGAAAGUCCAGGGCUCAACCCUGGGAUGCCGGUCGAUACUGCCGGACUAGAGUUCGGAAGAGGCGAGUGGAAUUCCCGGUGUAGCGGUGAAAUGCGCAGAUAUCGGGAGGAACACCAAUGGCGAAGGCAGCUCGCUGGGACGUUACUGACGCUGAGACGCGAAAGCGUGGGGAGCAAACAGG
RNAcentral lists this ribosomal RNA (253 nucleotides) under uncultured bacterium. RNAcentral's name for it is "partial 16S ribosomal RNA". It matches the Rfam family "Bacterial small subunit ribosomal RNA", at positions 524 to 776 of the family's 1533-position model. The record is from RNAcentral.